Molecule: ribosomal RNA, 468 nt
Filed under: uncultured bacterium
Lineage: Bacteria
Description: partial 16S ribosomal RNA
Rfam family: Bacterial small subunit ribosomal RNA
Source: RNAcentral
GACGAACGCUGGCGGCGUGCUUAACACAUGCCAGUCGAACGGAAAGGCCCUGCUUUUGUGGGGUGCUCGAGUGGCGAACGGGUGAGUAACACGUGAGUAACCUGCCCUUGACUUUGGGAUAACUUCAGGAAACUGGGGCUAAUACCGGAUAGGAGCUCCUGCUGCAUGGUGGGGGUUGGAAAGUUUCGGCGGUUGGGGAUGGACUCGCGGCUUAUCAGGUUGUUGGUGGGGUAGUGGCUUACCAAGGCUUUGACGGGUAGCCGGCCUGAGAGGGUGACCGGCCACAUUGGGACUGAGAUACGGCCCAGACUCCUACGGGAGGCAGCAGUGGGGAAUAUUGCACAAUGGGCGGAAGCCUGAUGCAGCAACGCCGCGUGCGGGAUGACGGCCUUCGGGUUGUAAACCGCUUUCGCCUGUGACGAAGCGUGAGUGACGGUAAUGGGUAAAGAAGCACCGGCUAACUACGUG